Molecule: unclassified non-coding RNA, 353 nt
Filed under: Hevea brasiliensis (rubber tree)
Lineage: Eukaryota; Viridiplantae; Streptophyta; Magnoliopsida; Malpighiales; Euphorbiaceae
Source: RNAcentral
GUCUGUCAUCAGUUCAAAGCUCAGGUAAAUAAUUUGGUCUUAGUAUUUAUAUAAACACGGCUAGUUUUUUCCCCCUCUCAGCAUUUAUAUAUGCAGUGCCUAUUUGUAUAGGUCAAAACGAGGCUUUAAACUUCUGAUUAAAAACAAAAAGAUUUAAACUGCUUCGGUUUUGAUUCAUUUGUUUUUCCCUCUACUUGUGGCUGAGAAGAAAAGGUUUUAUGUGUGAUAUGCAUACUGGGUUUGGUAUUUUAUGAGUGAUUUGUCUUUAUGUUGAUGUCGUUCUCGCGUGGAUGUUAGGUUUUAGAGAAUAUAACAAACGUGCCUGUCUGUCCCACAGAGAGAGAGAGAGAGAG